GACAAGGCAACCCAGUAGGAGGAAGCAUCCCAAGAGCAGGCAAAAUUGACAUGACUGCAAGCUUCCAUCUGGGAAGGCUAUUUCAGUCCAAGCUUUCUCCAUGUUGGCCCCUCUACAGUCUUACCAACUCUGGUUCUUCCUGUGCAUCUGGCACUCUGAUAGGGCCACAGGUAGGAAAAAGAAGGUAGCUCCUGAGGCAGCAGGUGAACUGUGCAAUAUGAUGGAGUCACCACAAGACCACCAAGGCCCUACAACUGCUUAGGUAUAAAUUAUCAAAGCAAAAAACCCUACAAAUCUUAGAGUUUUUAUUUUAGAAUAUCUUAUUUAGUUUUAAAAUAAAAUAAAUUUAAUGAAU
Molecule: long non-coding RNA, 355 nt
Organism: Mastomys coucha (southern multimammate mouse)
Lineage: Eukaryota; Metazoa; Chordata; Mammalia; Rodentia; Muridae
Exons: 2
Source: RefSeq, a predicted model, not a curated record